This 222-nucleotide ribosomal RNA is filed under the name Triticum aestivum (bread wheat). RNAcentral's name for it is "partial small subunit ribosomal RNA". The record is from RNAcentral. Lineage: Eukaryota; Viridiplantae; Streptophyta; Magnoliopsida; Poales; Poaceae.
AUGGUGUCUUCCACUGAGGGCGAGUCCAUCGCCGUGCUUGUGGCUCCCGUGCUGCAGAUCAUGCCCGAGCUUAGGGAGUUAUGCAUGAGUCUAUCAGUGGAGCAUACGAAGGUGGACAUGUCGGCGGCCUCAAUUGAAGGACAAGUUUCGCCUCUGUCAAGUGAGCUGCUGGAGGUCCCUUUGGUUGAUGAUGCUAAAGGGAAGGCAGCUGCAAUUUCAUGA